This 1441-nucleotide unclassified non-coding RNA is filed under the name Melitaea cinxia (Glanville fritillary). Its description in RNAcentral is "misc RNA ENSMCXG00005015518.1". Lineage: Eukaryota; Metazoa; Arthropoda; Insecta; Lepidoptera; Nymphalidae. The record is from RNAcentral.
CGCUGUGCGCCGCCUGCGCGCCAUCCACGCCCACCGACCCGCCGCCCGCGCCCGGACUAGUGACACCAGCUACAUAGGAAAAUUAGAAAAAUUUAAAUUUGAACAAAUCUUUUUCAAUUUAUGAUUUAGUUUAAUUUAGAGAAAAAUACUAUAUUUCCAUUAAAUCUUAAAAAAAGACAUCAUUGCUGUAUAUAUUUGUUACAUGCAUCAAAACUUCUUCUUAAUUUGAUAAGACUUAUAUAAUUUAUUAAAAUAAAAGGUAAUAUAAAAGGUACAAAAUGCUAUAUAUGAUAUGUUUCAUACUUUAUAUUUUUUUACAUACUUAAAUCAUUAGUUACGCACAAAAUCAUUAUAUGUUGAUUUAUAUGUAUGUCAUACAUUUGAGUAGGUAAGUAAAAUAUUCAUUUUUUUUGUCGGAAUUAAUACAGUUCUUCCAUACCGCUGGUUUGACUGAUGCAUACAAAUUCCUAUUUCAGUCGACUCAUUAGUUACACGUCCUUGCUAGACAAGUAGUAUAGUUUAAUCAAACAACGGCUUUCAGGAUCAAAUUGAAUAUCUUUGACAAACACUCGUACGUAGAUCUUGUUUGACGAACACAACAAUUGUCUAUUGGUUGUCAAACACUAUCAUUGGUUACCAUUAAAAAUGUUAAAAAUGUGAACUUCACCUUUAACUAUCAAGAUAAAUGCGUGAAACAGAUAUUAUUUAUGUAUUGAAGAAGUUUGAAUUUCUUUUAAAAUCUCUAUAUUAUUUUAAUUUGUUGUAUAUUGAAAAUAAUAAUGUCAAAACAAGAAUUAAAAUGUGAAUUGGUUUAAUUUCUAUACAGGUAGUUAUGUGUUCAAGUUGUUAUAAUUAAACACUUUAUAAAACUAAUAAACUAAUUAGUUAAAUUUAAUUAGAAAUAUAAUCAAGUAUUUAAACAAUAAACAAAAUCAGGAGGUGAAUUUCAAGUGAUUUUCUAUUUUUUUUAUUAAUUUUUUUUUUCAAAUUCUUCUACUUAAGUAUUAAAAACAAUUUGAUUCCAUUUAAACUAAAUGUAAUAUAAAGUAAAAUUCCUAAAAACGUAAUUGGAUUUUUAUUUUUAGUUUUUAAUAAAUAGCCUAUUAUAAAAAAUAAAAAAACUGAAAUGUUGCCAUAGCCGUACUUGUGGAGAAGUAGAUUAUUUUUGAAAAUUAUUUCCUAUACUAUUUUGUUACUUGAUAAUAAUUUGUAAAAAAUAUUUAUAAAUUUAUCUAUAGUAACUAAUUUCUCUGUACGAUAUGUGUAAUAUUUUCGUUUAUUGCAAUUAGUUUAAGAUGAAAAGAUAAUAAAUAAUAUCAAAACAAUUUAAUGUGGUUUUUAUUUCUUGUUAAAACAUGAUAAAUUGUAUUUAGUGGAUUUAAGCAAAACGUACUAAAUAAAAUACAUGUACGGUAUGCCAUUGCUAUUACUAAAUACAAAA